UGACAUUGAACCAUUAAUAUGACAAUCACUACUAGCUAGUUUAUAGUAGUUGGAUUCCUUGGACAUGCUUGGUGCAUACUAUUGGACAUAUGGUUAUAUGCUUAGAUAUAUGUCACGCCCCGGGGCCCAGCAGAAGCCCGCCCGGCGCGUGCCCAGACCCGCCAUAUGUCAAAAACAUACAAGGCGUCUACAACAAUGCGAUAAAUAAAGCAAUAAUACGAGGAGAUCUAGCGAUAUCAGAGCAAAGUACAUCUAGAUUUCUACAACAUAGUAAGGUAAAAGAAAUCCAAAUCCAC
RNAcentral lists this long non-coding RNA (296 nucleotides) under Ananas comosus (pineapple). RNAcentral's name for it is "long non-coding RNA (ACOM_LNC038827)". Lineage: Eukaryota; Viridiplantae; Streptophyta; Magnoliopsida; Poales; Bromeliaceae. The record is from RNAcentral.